RNAcentral lists this small RNA (85 nucleotides) under Arabidopsis thaliana (thale cress). RNAcentral describes it as "ATSL140540". Lineage: Eukaryota; Viridiplantae; Streptophyta; Magnoliopsida; Brassicales; Brassicaceae. The record is from RNAcentral.
UCACGAAGGGGGACAAACACACAUGCUUGGUUAGUUGGCCAAACUGUCCUUUUAUUUUUUUCCAAUUUUAAAAACCAAAAAAAAA